This 253-nucleotide ribosomal RNA is filed under the name uncultured bacterium. Its description in RNAcentral is "partial 16S ribosomal RNA". It matches the Rfam family "Bacterial small subunit ribosomal RNA", at positions 524 to 776 of the family's 1533-position model. The record is from RNAcentral.
UACGUAGGGGGCAAGCGUUGUUCGGAAUCACUGGGCGUAAAGGGUGCGUAGGCCGCACGGUAAGUCAGAGGUGAAAUCCCGGAGCUCAACUUCGGAAUGGCCUCCGAUACUGCCGUGCUUGAGGACUGGAGAGGAGUCUGGAAUUCACAGUGGAGCAGUGAAAUGCGUAGAUAUUGUGAGGAACACUAGUGGCGAAGGCGAGACUCUGGACAGUUCCUGACGCUGAGGCACGAAGGCCAGGGGAGCAAACGGG